UACGGAGGGUGCGAGCGUUGUCCGGAAUCACUGGGCGUAAAGGGCGCGUAGGCGGUUCGCUAAGUGGCUGGUGAAAUCCCGGGGCUCAACUCCGGGGCUGCCGGUCAGACUGGCGGACUAGAGCACGGUAGAGGCGGAUGGAAUUCCCGGUGUAGCGGUGGAAUGCGUAGAUAUCGGGAAGAAUACCGGUGGCGAAGGCGUUCCGCUGGGCCGUUGCUGACGCUGAGGCGCGACAGCGUGGGGAGCAAACAGG
RNAcentral lists this ribosomal RNA (253 nucleotides) under uncultured bacterium. RNAcentral's name for it is "partial 16S ribosomal RNA". It matches the Rfam family "Bacterial small subunit ribosomal RNA", at positions 524 to 776 of the family's 1533-position model. The record is from RNAcentral.